UCCUGACGUUGGGGCCUGAGAGGCAGUUCUGAGGACAGCAGACCUGACCUGGGCCUGCAGCUUAUGGGUUCCUGCGCUGGGUCCCAGCAGGUCAGCUGGACCCUGGCCUCUGGCCCCCUGAUGCCAGGU
Non-coding RNA from Canis lupus familiaris (dog), 129 nucleotides. NCBI's taxonomy places the organism in Eukaryota, Metazoa, Chordata, Mammalia, Carnivora, Canidae. The record is from RefSeq and is marked provisional.